GGUCAGGUCCUAUGCGGCGGCGCGCCCGUGAACUCCGCGAGAUCCGGAAGGAAGCACCGGUAGCGAGGUUGCCCGAGUGCCGUAGGUUCCCUGGCCCUU
This 99-nucleotide signal recognition particle RNA is filed under the name Puniceicoccales bacterium. RNAcentral's name for it is "signal recognition particle sRNA small type". It matches the Rfam family "Bacterial small signal recognition particle RNA". Rfam says of the family: The signal recognition particle (SRP) is a universally conserved ribonucleoprotein involved in the co-translational targeting of proteins to membranes. Archaeal SRP consists of a 7S RNA and homologues of the eukaryotic SRP19 and SRP54 proteins. The record is from RNAcentral. Lineage: Bacteria; Pseudomonadati; Verrucomicrobiota; Opitutia; Puniceicoccales.